GUCAUUCGGUUCUUUCACAACUUGGAUCUUACGCACGGGAUGAUCACCCAUCUAAAAUUUCUUUUCUAUUUCGGUUCUAAAUUCAAUUCUUACGGCUGUACUUUUCAGUAGAAAUAGCAUUCGGUUCUAUUUACAACUUGAAUCCUGUGCAUCGGAUGAUCAUCCAUCUAUAUCUCUUUUUCAUUACUUUUCUAAUUUCAAUUUUUACUGUUGAACUUUUCGGUACGUAAAAACAGUAUAAUAUUCGAUUCUUUCACAACUUAAAUCCCACGUAAUAGAUGAUCACCUAUCUAAAAUUUCUAUUCUAUUUCGUCUCUGAAUUCAAUUCCUACAGUUGAACUUUUAAGUAGAAAUAGCAUCUAGCUUUUUCACAACUCGAAUCUUGCACAGAGUAAU
Molecule: long non-coding RNA, 396 nt
Filed under: Ananas comosus (pineapple)
Lineage: Eukaryota; Viridiplantae; Streptophyta; Magnoliopsida; Poales; Bromeliaceae
Description: long non-coding RNA (ACOM_LNC017132)
Source: RNAcentral